Molecule: ribosomal RNA, 259 nt
Filed under: uncultured bacterium
Lineage: Bacteria
Description: partial 16S ribosomal RNA
Rfam family: Bacterial small subunit ribosomal RNA
Source: RNAcentral
UGUACCUACGGGGGGCAGCAGUGGGGAAUAUUGGGCAAUGGGCGCAAGCCUGACCCAGCAACGGCGCGUGAAGGAAGAAGGCUUUCGGGUUGUAAACUUCUUUUCUGAGGGACGAAGAAAGUGACGGUACCUCAGGAAUAAGCCACAGCUAACUACGUGCCAGCAGCCGCGGUAAUACGUAGGUGGCAAGCGUUAUCCGGAUUUAUUGGGUGUAAAGGGCGUGUAGGCGGGAAUGCAAGUCAGAUGUGAAAACUAUGGG